This is a long non-coding RNA of Oncorhynchus tshawytscha (Chinook salmon), 1537 nucleotides long. The record is from Ensembl. NCBI's taxonomy places the organism in Eukaryota, Metazoa, Chordata, Actinopteri, Salmoniformes, Salmonidae.
CUGAGCUCAAACGAUCCGCCAGCCUAAGCCUCCCAGCAACUUGGAUUACAGGCGCACGCCACUGCGCCCGGCGAGAAACGAGAGGAUUUUAAAGGCAUUUGAAGUUAAAUUCGUGACGUCACACGGCUUCUACAGUGGCCUCUUGUGGAAUCGCAGCGGUGUUGACAUUCCGCGCGCCUCUGGCUCUGGCACCGGUUUAAACAUGUCCUAUGGGAGGAGGUGAGGGCCCUGGCGGAGUGGUGCCAUGAAAAUAACCUCUCCCUCAACAUCAACAAAACAAAGAAGCUAAUCGUGGACUACAGGAGACAGCAAAGGGAGCACGCCCGCCUCCAGCCACAUCGACAGGGCCGCAGUGGAGAAGGAUCUGAGCCCUAGGACCAUGCCUCAGGACUACCUGGCAUGAUGACUCCUUGCUGUUCCCAGUCCACCUGGCCGUGCUGCUGCUCCAGUUUCAACUGUCCUGCCUGCGGCUAUGGAACCCUGACCUGUUCACUGUGAUUAUUAUUAUUUGACCAUGCUGGUCAUUUAUGAACAUUUGAACAUCUUGGCCAUGUUCUGUUAUAAUCUCCACCCGGCCCAGCCAGAAGAGGACUGGCCACCCCUCAUAGCCUGGUUCCUCUCUAGGUUUCUUCCUAGGUUUUGGCCUUUCUAGGUAGUUUUUCCUAGCCACCGUGCUUCUACACCUGCAUUGCUUGCUGUUUGGGGUUUUAGACUGGGUUUUUGUACAGCACUUUUUGUACAGCUGAUGUAAGAAGGGCUUUAUAAAUACAUUUGCUUUAAAUGGUGGACUAUUCUUACUAGGGAGAGCCAAUAUGGCCAAAACAUAGUAUUAUCAAUCCAGUAUUUAUAUACAUCAUUGGGUACAUGUAUAUUUACAGACCACCAAAAUCAAUAUUUAUGAGUAAUUCUCCCCCCACCCACAACUUCUCACCUGAAUGCAUUUUUUAAAAACUUUGAAGUGGUUGGGAAAAGGCUGAAAUGUGGGUUGAGAGUUUCACCUUAAAGGUGAAUGCACUAAAAGUAAUUCUGGAUAAGAGCAUCUUUUAAAUGACUAUAAAAUGCCAUGUAAAUGUGAUUUAUUGUAUGCCUAUGAAAAAUGCAUCAUGCACUUUGUCUCACUAAACUAUGGAGCUAUUCCCCUCAGAGCCUGGUUCCUCUCUACCCAGUACAGCUAGUAGAGGACUGGUCACCCCUCAGAGCCUGGUUCCUCUCUAGGUUUCGUCCUAGGUUCCUGCCUUCCAGGGAGUUUUUUUUCUGUGCUUCAGUCUCUGUACGGUUCGCUCUGUUCUUCAGUCUCUGUACGGUUCGCUCUGUGCUUCAGUCUCUGUACGGUUCGCUCUGUGCUUCAGUCUCUGUACAGUUCGCUCUGUGCUUCAGUCUCUGUACGGUUCGCUCUGUGCUUCAGUCUCUGUACGGUUCGCUCUGUGCUUCAGUCUCUGUACGGUUCGCUCUGUGCUUCAGUCUCUGUACGGUUCGCUCUGUGCUUCAGUCUCUGUACGGUUUGCUCUGUUAAGCACCUUUUCUGUGACAACUGCUG